GAAUGGGUGCUGGGGGGGGACAAAGUUGGGAAUUGCAGGGAGGGGUUUUAAAGUCAAGAGCUGGGGAGAGGGCUGUCUGGGAACUGUCCCUUUGGGCAGGUAAAGGCAGUGGGUUACUCUUCAGCGUGAUGUCAGCGUGUGCCAGGCAGGGCAGCUCCAGCCUGCGUGUGUCAUGGUGUAGUUUGUGUGGUCUGUUGUCUUUUGUGUCUCAAACCCUCCUUGGGUCCCAGUCUCCUCUUUGUGCUCCAGGAGCACAGCACUCAUCUUGCAGCCCAUCCUUAGGUCUUGAGCAUCAUCUGUGCUCACUCUCGUAGUGCCCGUGGGACGCUGCUUUUCUUACCUGAACUCAAAAGCCCAGCUGGGCCUCGCGACUCGGGUGUCUCCUCUUGAUCCUCUUUUUGCGCCGGUGUUGCGGUCGGUGUCGUCAGCCCCGCUCUGGAGGCUUCUCUUUCACAGGGAGAAUCUCUUUUUUUUCUGGGCAUUCUUCCCUGUGUCCUUGCAUUCUUGGGUCUUGCCAAGGCUUCUCGUGCAUCUGUCUGCUUCAGUUCUGACUGUAGCUUCUUGUCAUGGUUUGCAAUGUUUGACCUUUCUCUGGGGCUGCCUUACAGGCUCCUUACUGCUGAAAUCACAAGUGAAUUGAGUAUAGGAAUAUUGGGGCUAAUGUGUUAAUUAAAGGGAUAUCAGUUCAAAUUGCAUGCCUGUUAAAGACUUGUGCAAACUGACAACUGCUUGACCUAAGCGACUUGACUUUGGACUGGACUUGUGACUUGACUUAGCCUGAGUGUCUGGAGUGAUGAGGCCUUAGGCUGUGAUUCUAAUUAAUCUUUCGCUGAACUCCUGUGAUGAGCCUUAGUUAGACCUUGACUCUACCAGCUGUAAUAAUAUGGAAACAAGAUGUGGGCAAGAUAAUUACUCAAGACGAUCUUCUGAACUGCGAAGAUGCAUUGACUGAAAGUUAAGUGGGAGCAAUUGGACAAAAGCAGAAUGUGGAAGACUUUUCCAGCUGAGAAACAAGUGGAAGAGAGCAAGACUGGAAGCACCCAGCUCGAGCUGCAGUAAACUGAUUCUGUGGCAGAACUGAGGGUCUGAGCUUCUCUCUCAGGUUGGAGGUGAAGACUGGAUCCAGCUGCACCUAGGCUCUGCCCUGAGAAGAAGCUGAGAAACCAAGGAGGUCCUGUCUGAAGCUCACAACUCGAAAGGAGGAACUUUCUGGACUCUUCAGCACUCAUCUCAUGCUUGUGGUCUUGUAUGUCUUGCCACCUGGUGGCAUCUGCAUUGGAGGAGGAGAUUUUUAGUUGCUGGGAGUUUCCUCUCAUGCUUGUGUCACAUCCUUUGUGUUUGUGUGUUGUGUCUCUGUGCUGUUGGGUUGGAGCUGCUCUCUCUGGAGGCUGUAUCAGCUGUGGGGUUGGGAGAAGAAUAGCAAGGAGAGCCUGUGGUUUGUGUUGCUGUGCUAUCUGUGCCUGUUGGGGUGCAGAUAGAGCAUUUGAAGUGAAGUAGCAGGCCUCAGAAGGGGAAGGUGGCCAUUUUCAUAGUGUUUUUGAGAGGGGGUGGCUGGAGCCACCUGGGAGAGGCUGCUGGAGCCAUAGCCAAUCAGGUUGGGUGUCCAGGGUGUUAAGGCCUGAAUGUGUGGGGCGUAAUGUUAACUUGGUUUUUAGCUCCCUUGUAGGCAGCUAGAUCUAGAAGAUGUUCCUAAAUGGGAAUCUCUGGAAUUGCAUCUGGCUGAUAGCUUGUUACUGCUUUUUCAGAUGCAGGGAGAGGAGCCACGCAGCAGAGGGUGAUGGAGGAGAGGAGCAGAGCGUGGUGAGGAGCUGGGUCGGUGCGUAUUGAAGAGUCUGGGUGAGUUGUCCCCUGGGUUGUGAGGGAAGGUGUGACUGAUGCCUCUACCAACUGGCUCAUGGUUUGGGUUUGUUUUGUAGGUGCAAAGCACCGAGGGAAGCGGGAGAUCUGCACUGAAGGUGACUCGAGCAAGGCAGCACAGAGGGCUGGACGUGGCAACCUGUGACCAUCAGAGGGCAGACAGGUGAGCCACAAAGUUUUGCAGCCUUGGAGCAGUGGAGCAGCAUGCCAACGGGCCAUCUGUGGAGAUGACACAGGCAUCAGCCAGAUGCUACAAGCAAGGAUGGCCUCAGCGUCAGAUUCUGGAACCAGCAGAUCACUAUGAGGAGCCUGGCGAUGGCAGGAACAUCCCGGCAAGGAUGGCUUGUUGAGGAGGAAGGCUGCGGAGCCCUGGCCAUCUGAAAGCUAAGUGGAGGGGCUGGGAGGAGGGGACAAGGUUGGGGAUUGGAGGGAGGGGUUUCAAAGUUGGUGUAGGGGAGAGGACUGGCAGGGCACCGUCCCCUUGGGGCAGGCAAAGGGACGGGUUACUCUUCAGCACAAUGUCAGUGUGUACAGGGCAGGGCAGCUCCAACCUGUGUCUGGCGUGUACUUCGUGUCGUCUGUUUUCUGUGUCUCAGACUGUAUGUUCUUUGGCUCUUGGUGCCUCCAUAGCUCGGUGACCUAGCAGGCACCUCAGUAGCCCUCCCAAGAGUCCAGAAUGCAUCACUUCACUGGCACAGAGCCUGUUGAGCCCUUCUCAUCUCACAAUUACAGCUUGACGCGUGGAUCUCUUUGGCAUGUGUCACAUCCUGGCUGUUUCGGAGCGUUCAUCUUUUGCGGUGGCCAGCCAGGUGCUGCCCGCAGCUCUGCGCUUGAGUCUUCUGUUUCCACAGAGUCAUUUUCUGGGGUUUCAUCCCCAUGUCCUCACUGGUCUUGGGUCUUCAAGCAUGGCUUCUCACACAUCCCUUAUUCUGGCUUUGAUGGCAGCUUUCUCUUGUGUGUGGCUGCAAUCUCCUCUCCUUGGCAGGUCUGCUUUAGAGCAUCCGUGCCAUCGUGGCACCGUAGGGCUUCUCUGCCAGCAUCAUCUUCCCUAUGGGAAUCUUUCACUGAGCAAGGACAAGAGACUUAUAGAAAGUUACAAAGGUCUUGUGAAACAAAGAUCCUGAUCUUGUUGAAACAAGAAGACGGGGAAGUACGUGCUUUUCUUAAAAUGUGGCAGAAUUGCCGCAGUUGCUGUAGCUGAGUGACGUCUGCUCGUGACAAAAUCAACAAUAUGGAAACCAGACCUUCAGCAUUUAGGCUGCCCACCUCCAACUGAAGACCUACGCACUGUGUGUGCUGUACCUUGAAAUCAGAGUGAGAAAUUCACUAAUCAAUCAGGGUAGAAUAACUGUGAAUAUGUAUUUGGUGGAGGAAGCUAAUCAAAAGUGUGUGAAUGUGUAGAGUUUUGUGACUUCAGGGGGCAGCUUUGUGUCUUACCGCCUCUCGCCCUGUGUUUGCCUAAACAAAUGAAAUAAAUGAAAAUACCUUGGCUCUGUAUGUAUUUUGGCAUCUCGCAUAGUAGGUGAAUGACCCCACUUUUGGUAUAACGAGGUAUAACACUCGGGGUGUCCGUGUGUAGUCCUGGUCUGUGUGUGAGGGUUGGAGCUGCCCUGCCCAGGGAUGCAGCAGUACUGAUGACAGGGUAGCGUAGCUUUAUGGGGGUGUGGAAGUAAGUUGGUUUGGACCAAUUCUGUUGGCAGAGACCAUACGGUCCAUCUCUGGGCAAACAGGUGUAGGCAGCUGCCACAGUUGUGUUCACUUUUCUUUACAGUCCGGGGCUAGGAUUGGAUCCAGCCGCACCUAGACUCCUCUGAGAAGGAGUUUAGAAAGCAAGGGGGUCCAGUCUGAACCUCGUGACUGGUUGGGAGCAGCAGUUAGUGUGGAAGGGGAGCGGGUCAGAUCUGGAAGCUGCCUUAGCUUGCACAGAUGGGGCUCCCUAGCUGGCUUUUCUUCUUCUAGCUGUAGUGAGAAGGUAUAUGCAAAAGGCAGAGAGACCUCUGGCCUCACCAAGCUACCUGUGGUUGUGCGGGUGACUUGCUUUACAGAGUGUGUUUGUGUUGUUUCAGAUGCAGAGCAACAAGCAGCACGGCCAAGGGCACGGAAGAGGGGAGCAGAGUGCCGGCUGAAGAAGGACAGUCAUGCAGCUCCGGAGUAUCGGCAGGACAGCUGGUGGCUCUGACAAGCUUGAGCUUCUCUGGCCGGAUUUUCUGGGUGCAAAUCCAAGCGUGAAGCGAGAUAUUAUCAGCAGAGCGGCCUCUGGCAAGGUGGUACACAAGCCCUCCUAGUCCCCCGGGGUCCCCACCUGGAUGGUUCAGGAUGGCCUGGUGCUGUGCAUUGCAUUUCCAGAGACAAACAGCAGCUUGGCAGCUUGUGGUCAGGACUCUGGAGAGAUUUGGGAAGGCCCCAGAGCACCUUCUGCAUCCUCUCACAGUCAGCAUGAACUUGCUGGAGGAAUCCCAAGGCAGAAUGACCAUGACACCUGAAGCAGAUACCAGCCACCGGUGUGUUCAGAUGCUGAACAAAUAUUUCUCAUACUCCCUUUCAAUUGUUGGAAACCUGCCAGAGUUAAAUCCCAUCUUUCAUUUCUGGAGCUUUGCUGUUUUCCUUAUUUUUCUGCCUCAGGUGCAUGAUCUGAGGUGUUAAUUUGAACUUGGACUGGAAGAUGCAGUUAAAAUACUCAUCUUUAUGCAGAAAGCAACCAGUGAAGACAUUCCCAAGUUUAAAAGGUAACUGAGUCCACAGAUGAGGCUCUGGAGGAAUGGUUCAAGAUGCAGCUUCUCCCAGCUCAGAUGCAUUACACAGACUUGCAGGCUGCUGCUGAGGUAAAUCCUUUUCUUAUUUUCUGCCCCUCAACAGCAGAGUUCAAAGCUCUUCUAAUUGCAGGGGACCUUGGGUGGUUCUUCCUGGAGAAAUUAAGUAGACAAAUUAAAAUGCAGCUUUCAUGGCAUUUUCACUGACACCUCUUGUGCCUGGAGGUCAAAUGUUUUCACUUAUUUAUGGAACUUGGCAUUGUUAUCCUGAAGUAGAAUUUGAUUGUUGUUGUUAUUAUUUCUA
Apus apus (common swift) is the source of this 4911-nucleotide long non-coding RNA. RefSeq lists it as uncharacterized. The record is from RefSeq and is a predicted model, not a curated record. NCBI's taxonomy places the organism in Eukaryota, Metazoa, Chordata, Aves, Apodiformes, Apodidae. The transcript is spliced from 8 exons.